Molecule: long non-coding RNA, 616 nt
Organism: Xyrauchen texanus (razorback sucker)
Lineage: Eukaryota; Metazoa; Chordata; Actinopteri; Cypriniformes; Catostomidae
Exons: 3
Source: RefSeq, a predicted model, not a curated record
UCGUCUGUUUUGGUGAGUAAUUUGUACCCAUCCAGUCACAUUAAAACACAUUUCUUAUGUCUGCAUACACUGUAUCACAAUGCAAUCUUCCUAAAUAUGUAAUUCAUUAUUUAUUUUGACUUUAAUUUUCCCCCCCUGCUUAUUCUAAAUGUGAGCGUGUUAUGUUACUCUUUAUUGCAGCAGCAUUACGUUCAGCGGCGCACGUGCGCACGUGUUUCAAUAGAAACAAGUUUAAGAAACUGAGUGCAGGCCUGAAUACGGUCCAGCUCACGGGCAUCAUUUAUAAAGUGAUCAAUUGGAAUAGACGAGGAGCAGGGCAGGACUGGUAAUCUGCACUACCGGACAUUUUUCCGGUGGACCGACAAACUUUGGGGCCGAUCAGGGUGGACUGGCCAUCGGGAGAACCGAGCGGGUCGCUGUGUCGGCCGCGAUAAUCUAAAACGAGCCGCCGCGUUAGCGAACACUACCCCCCCAACAACUUUUUGACAGUUAUGUCAAAUCCCGGGCCGAUUUCUCUUUCCAGUCCAGCCCUGAAAAGGUGCACAUGGAUAUUUUUGAAGUUAAACAAGUACAAGCUUGCCCAGAGUUUUCUUAAGCCGUUUGGAGUGUGAUGCAG